GACGAACGCUGGCGGCGUGCUUAACACAUGCAAGUCGAGCGGUAAGGCCCUUUCGGGGGUACGACGAGCGGCGAACGGGUGAGUAACACGUGGGUGACCUGCCCUCAGCUCUGGGAUAAGCCUGGGAAACCGGGUCUAAUACUGGAUAUGACUCCAUGACGCAUGUUGUGGGGUGGAAAGCCUUGUGCGGCUGAGGAUGGGCCCGCGGCCUAUCAGCUUGUUGGUGGGGUGAUGGCCUACCAAGGUGACGACGGGUAGCCGGCCUGAGAGGGCGACCGGCCACACUGGGACUGAGACACGGCCCAGACUCCUACGGGAGGCUGCAGUCGAGAAUAUUCCACAAUGGGGGAAACCCUGAUGGAGCGACACCGCGUGGGGAUGAA
RNAcentral lists this ribosomal RNA (383 nucleotides) under uncultured bacterium. Its description in RNAcentral is "bacterial SSU rRNA". It matches the Rfam family "Bacterial small subunit ribosomal RNA", at positions 28 to 412 of the family's 1533-position model. The record is from RNAcentral.